Molecule: non-coding RNA, 565 nt
Organism: Cinara cedri
Lineage: Eukaryota; Metazoa; Arthropoda; Insecta; Hemiptera; Aphididae
Source: the annotation of a GenBank genome assembly
UGUGGAGAAUUUAUUAAGAUAAUCACAUACUAUAUAAUAUAUAAUAAACUAGAUUGAUGAUAUUUUUUAUAUUUAAAUAUGAAAUUAAUUUACUGUAGAUUCACUAGGUUACAAAAUAUUGAUCUUAAUGGAUUUAAAUAAUAAAGUAAUUUACUCGUAACUAUCAACCAAUUAUAUAUUUUAAUUUAUCCGAUUUAAAUUGUAUUAAUUAUAUUGACUCACAUUGCAACUCUACAAAAGGAUUACAAAUUAAAAAUGUCGAUGAAUACGUAAUAAUAUUAUUCGAGGGCACCUAUACUUUGACGGUGACUUUACAUAUCUUUAGAAACUUUUGUGCGGUGUAUAUUUGAAUUAAUAAAGGAGUUAGGUAGGUAUCUAUCAAUUUUCAUCUGGAUUUUCGAGUACCAAUUUUGUAUGUAUCUUCGAUUGCAUUUUUUUUAUAAUUGUAUUCUCGUGAGUAAAAAGAAAAAUGCACUUUUCACCGAAGUUUUAUAAUUGCUAAUUUAAUCGAACGUUUUUCGGAUGUGGAAUAAAUUUCGAUUUAUUAUUUUCCCUAGCUAUACGA